UUCAACAAUAUGGGAAGCAUAAGACAUCUACGGAUUUUAUUAGGACGGUCACUAAUGUUGGGGAUCCUAAUUCUGUGUACAAAGUUACAUUAAACACGUAGUGGGAGUCUGGUGACAGUGCAGGCUGAUAAGCUUGUUUUUGGGAGGAGUGGGCAGAAAUUGAGCUUCCUUAUUAGAUUGGAAACCAUGGCAGUGAAGCUCUCUCAUGGGAGCUCAAGCUUGAAGAGUGGUUCUA
This 235-nucleotide unclassified non-coding RNA is filed under the name Hevea brasiliensis (rubber tree). Lineage: Eukaryota; Viridiplantae; Streptophyta; Magnoliopsida; Malpighiales; Euphorbiaceae. The record is from RNAcentral.